RNAcentral lists this ribosomal RNA (468 nucleotides) under uncultured bacterium. Its description in RNAcentral is "partial 16S ribosomal RNA". It matches the Rfam family "Bacterial small subunit ribosomal RNA", at positions 28 to 507 of the family's 1533-position model. The record is from RNAcentral.
GAUGAACGCUGGCGGCGUGCUUAACACAUGCAAGUCGAACGGAAAGGCCAGUGCUUGCACUGGUACUCGAGUGGCGAACGGGUGAGUAACACGUGGGUGAUCUGCCCUGCACUUCGGGAUAAGCCUGGGAAACUGGGUCUAAUACCGGAUAGGACAAUGGUUUGGAUGCCGUUGUGGAAAGUUUUUUCGGUGUGGGAUGAGCUCGCGGCCUAUCAGCUUGUUGGUGGGGUAAUGGCCUACCAAGGCGUCGACGGGUAGCCGGCCUGAGAGGGUGUACGGCCACAUUGGGACUGAGAUACGGCCCAGACUCCUACGGGAGGCAGCAGUGGGGAAUAUUGCACAAUGGGCGCAAGCCUGAUGCAGCGACGCCGCGUGGGGGAUGACGGCCUUCGGGUUGUAAACUCCUUUCGCUAGGGACGAAGCGUAUUUGUGACGGUACCUGGAGAAGAAGCACCGGCUAACUACGCG